Molecule: ribosomal RNA, 406 nt
Filed under: uncultured bacterium
Lineage: Bacteria
Description: partial 16S ribosomal RNA
Rfam family: Bacterial small subunit ribosomal RNA
Source: RNAcentral
AUUGAACGCUGGCGGCAGGCCUAACACAUGCAAGUCGAACGAGUGGCGGACGGGUGAGUAAUGUCUGGGAAACUGCCUGAUGGAGGGGGAUAACUACUGGAAACGGUAGCUAAUACCGCAUACCAUCAGAUGUGCCCAGAUGGGAUUAGCUAGUUGGUGGGGUAACGGCUCACCAAGGCGACGAUCCCUAGCUGGUCUGAGAGGAUGACCAGCCACACUGGAACUGAGACACGGUCCAGAAUCCUACGGGAGGCAGAAGUGGGGAAGAUUGCACAAUGGGCGCAAGCCUGAUGCAGCCAUGCCGCGUGUAUGAAGAAGGCCUUCGGGGUGUAAAGUACUUUCAGCGAGGAGGCGUUACCCGCAGAAGAAGCACCGGCUAACUCCGUGCCAGCAGCCGCGGUAAUAC